RNAcentral lists this ribosomal RNA (382 nucleotides) under uncultured eukaryote. RNAcentral describes it as "partial 18S ribosomal RNA". It matches the Rfam family "Eukaryotic small subunit ribosomal RNA", at positions 592 to 976 of the family's 1831-position model. The record is from RNAcentral.
UGUAAGCGUAUACCAAAGUUGUUGCAGUUAAAACGCUCGUAGUCGGAAUUUGGCAGUUCCGGAUGUGUGCACGUCGUGUGCGCACUUCGCGGGGAUUGCUUUUGUGGUCUUGCGUAGGAUGAGGCACUUUUAUUAGUGAACGUCCUCACGCAACCACUUUUUACUGUGAGAAAAUCAGAGUGCUCAAAGCUGGCAUUUGCCGUGAAUGUAUUAGCAUGGAAUAAUAGAAUAGGACUUGGUUCUAUUUUGUUGGUUUGUUGGGACUGAGUAAUGAUUAAGAGGGACAGUUAGGGGCAUUUGUAUUUCGGUGCUAGAGGUGAAAUUCUUAGAUUACCGAAAGACAAACUGCUGCGAAAGCGUCUGCCAAGGAUGUUUUCAUUGA